Molecule: long non-coding RNA, 434 nt
Organism: Xiphophorus hellerii (green swordtail)
Lineage: Eukaryota; Metazoa; Chordata; Actinopteri; Cyprinodontiformes; Poeciliidae
Exons: 3
Source: RefSeq, a predicted model, not a curated record
UCCGACCUGGUUACAGUGGAGGUAAGAGGUGGAGAGGUGAAUGAGAUUGAGCUAAGUGGAUCGCAGAAGACUUUACCUGAUAGGUUUUUGUUAGGAAAAAAAAUAUCUCAAGUUAAAAAGUCUCAAGAGAGAAACUUAAAAAUUGUGUACCAAAAAAAAAAAAUUUAUAGAUGCCCCAAACUGAAAUUUAUGCAGAUUUAUUUAGAUUUGACCUGCUGAUACCAAUUCCUAGCGUGGCCUUGUAGCACUCAUGGCGGACAGCUGUUCCUCGAUGGGCAGAGUAGUCAUCCUGCGCUUGAAACAUUGUGGGCUCAGUUCCAGCUUCCUCCCAUAGCAUAUGUUAACGUGCCCCACAGCAAGGCAUUUUACCCCAAGUUUUCUAAUGAUGUAUCAAUCUAUGAAUAUGUGAAUGUUUUUGUGUGUGAAUGGGUGAA